This 121-nucleotide small nuclear RNA is filed under the name Neogale vison (American mink). RNAcentral's name for it is "Neovison vison (American mink) U4 spliceosomal RNA (ENSNVIG00000013025.1)". The stretch from base 1 to 77 matches the Rfam family "U4 spliceosomal RNA". Rfam says of the family: U4 small nuclear RNA (U4 snRNA) is a component of the major U2-dependent spliceosome. The structure of U4 snRNA from yeast and human has been reported. Lineage: Eukaryota; Metazoa; Chordata; Mammalia; Carnivora; Mustelidae. The record is from RNAcentral.
AGCUUUGUGCAGUGGCAGUAUCAUAGCCAAUGAGGUUUAUCCGAGGCGCGAUUAUUGCUAAUUGAAAUUGAUCACUCUAGGGGCACCUGGGUGGCUCAGUCAGUGAAGCAACCGACUCUUG